Molecule: long non-coding RNA, 1089 nt
Filed under: Aquila chrysaetos chrysaetos
Lineage: Eukaryota; Metazoa; Chordata; Aves; Accipitriformes; Accipitridae
Description: lncRNA (ENSACCG00020005185.1)
Source: RNAcentral
CUCCGCUCACUCUCCACAGGGCACCGGGCGAUGCCGGGGACAGGGAGGGGGACAGCCUGCGGGUGCGGCAAGUGUCCCCCCCUGCUCGCUCAGGAGACAAGCCACCACAGGGCUCUGCAAGGGGGGAGCCAGUGGGGGCUCCAAGACACGCCUGGUCCCCUCUCUGACCCCAGCACCAGGAGCCAAACCAACAGUCCCCCCAAGCCCCAUCUCCCAUUUUGGGGGAUACCCAGGGCUACAGGCGCAGUGGGUCCCUGUUGUCCCCAUGGCAUGGAGCCACCAGCCCCCAGGGUUCAAUCCUGGCUCCCCAGUGUUGAGCCUGCAGGCAGGGAUGCCAAACUGACCUCAUCACUGGUGCCCGGGGGCUCUCGCUGCUCCGGGGGGACAAAGCACCCUUCCCCAGCCCACCCUGCAACCCCUUCGUGCCCCCCGAACCGCUCUCCACCUUGGUGGCCAAAACGUGGGAGGAAUAAGGAAAACAGCAGCACCUUGGUGAGCCCAGCGCCCGUGGACGCCCAACGCGCGCAAGGGCUGUGGGUGGGCAGCAUCCCCCUGCCCUGCCUCCCCCCACACUGCCUGUCCCCAUUCCCGCUCGAGGGGGUCCCGCGCCACAUUCCUGCCGUGCUGGAGGCCAAGGAAAGGCACGUGCGGCCGCGCCGGGGAAAUGCCGGGCAUUGCUGGGAUUGCAGCCCGCAGCCUUGGGGGCCGGCAGCCCCGCUCACCACGGCCCCCUCCUCUCCUUUGCCCCUCUCCACCCCAUCAGCAGGACCAGCCCACCGGUACGAUGCCACGCACCCCAUUCCUGCAGCCACCAGCCAAGCUGGCACCGGACACCAGUAAGGUGCAAUGCCCCGUGGACUCCCAGCAUGCCGGCAGCGCUUCGGCGUUCAGCACACCCCCAGCGUCUACCCGGCCAAAGUGCCACGGCUCUGCCCCAAAACAGCCCCAGCGCCUGCCCUGAGCCCCGAUGACGGGCUGGCUUGACUUGGCUUGGUGGCAGCCACGUCCCCAGGGACCCAGCUGCACAUCCCCAGCGCAAUUCAUGGCACCGUCCCGGUGCCCCCGCACCGGCAGCCCAGGGAGAAAUUG